Long non-coding RNA from Oncorhynchus tshawytscha (Chinook salmon), 1435 nucleotides. Lineage: Eukaryota; Metazoa; Chordata; Actinopteri; Salmoniformes; Salmonidae. The record is from Ensembl.
GUUCUUUAAUUGUUCCUGUUCAUAAGGAAAUAUUUGUUGCGACAUUUUUCAUACAAAAACAGCGUAUUCUUUAACGUUGACACGUUUUGCAUUGAUACAAUAUUUGACACAGUUGCAAGGGAGGACGUUUACAACGAGGGGAAAGUAAAGACCCCAAAAAUAAAAGACAUUUAAACGCCACAACAACAAAAAAGUCGUCCAUACAAGUAAUAAUGCCACUAGACUGUCUGUUGUAGGGAAAAGACCAACCACGCCAAAAAAAAAACACACCUCUUGUUGUUUCACAAAAUGGCUCUCUAUUCCCUUUCAAGUACACUGCACUAUACAGGGCCCUAUUCCCUAGUACACUGCACUACACAGGGAGCCAUUUAGGACACACUAUUAGAGAAGGUUCUAGCAGGAUCUAUAAAAUUAGAGGGGAGGGGCUUUAACUUUAUACACAUUUUUUUUUUAUUUUAAAAAGGAAGUUAAACUACAUUUAAAAUCCCACUACAGCACCAGGACAGUGUUACACUAGAAUCAGUCAAGUGGCAUUGGGGGUUUAAGAGACACUUAAUGAUGGUUCACGAUGAACGGGUCACGGAGGCAACAUUUUUUUUACAGUUAAAACUAAACCGGUUUGGCACCGGUAACAGACAGUGAGGGGGAAAGAUUUCAGACUCGGUGACAGUAACUAGGAGGUCGUGGAACAACGAGCCUGGCCUGGUGUUCGAGAUGAUACAACGUAGAAAAUACACACCACACCAUGACACGAUUCCCUCUUCUACAGAACAAAGAAGCGCAUCAAAUCUAGAUAGUGUAUUUCUAGAUGAAUAUUCUAUAACGUUGAUCCUCAUGGAACACAGACCCUGGCUGUGAACCAAAUGGCCCCCAUUCCCCUAUAUAGAGCACUAGUUUUGACCAGAGCGCUAUUGACCCUGGUUAAGAGUAGUGGAACAGAGAUCAGGCUGUGAACCAAAUGGCCCCAUUCCCCUAUAUAGAGCACUAGUUUUGACCAGAGCGCUAUUGACCCUGCUUAAGAGUAGUGGAACAGAGAUCAAGCUGCCAUUUCAGAGCCUGGUGGGUUAGGCGAGUAGAGCCUGGGUGUGAGUUCUCUUUCUGUACUGAACAGCUGUCAGUAGCGCCACAACAUGCAGAGUGGUAACUACCUAAUCCAUCACGAUACAGGGGAUUUAUCAAUCAAUCAGAAAUGAAAAACAGUGCGAGCAACAACAAAAAAAGCAGUGAAAAAAAUAUUUGGGACACAAUAAUCCACAGUGCACUAGUUUGAACCAGAGCUCUAUUGGCCGUAGUUAAAAGUAGUGUACUAUAUACGGAUUAGGGUGCCAUUUGGGACAGUUUUUUUCUUUCCUAAAGAAUAUCCUGCUAUACCACAUGCUGAGGACUCCUAUCAUGAUUUAUGGCUUCGUUUCUCUCAGCCAGUCAGAUAAGUGCA